GUCGCCCACCUUCAUCUCCUCUCCUACCACGGCCGUCUCUGACCUCCGGCUAAUUCCCGCCGCCCACCUUGCUACGGACCGCCUCCGCCUCCGCCUCGCCCCCCACCUCCUCACGACCGCCCCGACCUCCGGCUCAUCCCCGAUGCCCACAUCCUCACGGUUGCCCCCGACCUCCUCUCGGCCAAAGGGGGUGGACGGAGGCCGCCGCCGUGGCGACAUCAGCGAGUUGGCCGGAGGUGUUCAUCCCUCUCCCUUCUCUCCACUGAUUGUCUAUACGUCGUCCAAACCAUUGGUAACAGUGUGGAUCUUCCCAGGGUGCAUAGAAGGGUCUUGAAAUGGAUACAAAUGGAUGUUUCAGUGAUUUGUAUGGAUGCCUCACAGCCAACACAAAGUAUCCAAAACUUGGGAAAAUGGAACCUUGGUUUUUAUCAGAUUGCUAAGAUGAGGAAAAUCAAUGUCGAAAAAUAUUUGAUAUCGGCAUUGGUGGAGCAUUGGCGGCCCGAGACAAACAGUUUUCACCUACCUGUAGGAGAAAUGACUAUUACGUUGCAAGAUGUCAGUUGUUUGUGGGGGUUGCCUAUCCAUGGUAAACCACUUGUUGGAAAAGUUGAUACACAAUGGUCAGAAUUAGUUGAGAGGUUGCUUGGGAUUCCUGUGGAUGAACAACACAUGAAACAAAAGAAAAGGUGAAAAGGUGAUGAUGAUACUGUUGUGAGGAAUUCACAAUACUCUCUAGAUUUGGGUAAACUGCGGGAACGCUUCCAUGUGUUGUCGGAUAAUUCAAUGGCCAGGGAGAUAAAUUGGCAUGCUCGAGCACUUGUUCUAAAAAUCCUUGGCAAUUAUGUUCAAGAAUACAACCGUGUUGAUGCAACAGUGUGGCCAGACGAUAUUCCCUUUGAUGUAGCAAGUUUACCUCAUUAUAGACAUUGGUUCCAACAAAAUGGUAUGUACAUAGUAUUCUUCGAUUCUCAAUGCUUGGGCGGCCUAGAUAAACCUAUUCCAUAUCCUCGAGAUAGCAUCGAAUGGACUGGCUACAUGCCUAGUGGUCCGCCACUGGCUCAAAUUGGUUAUGCAAGAUAAAGAAUGCCACACGGGGUAUUAAAUGUGCUAUUACUAGUGGAUGCAAGAAGAUAGGGAAAACUAUAUUGAGGUCUUGUGUAGGAAAUUUGUUGGAUUUGAACUUGGAGCCUGGGCUGCAAAGCAUGCUUACUGAGGCUAGGUUACCACUGUACAUUGAAGAUAUUCCAUUUGAUGAAGAGGUUUUUGAUAUUGCUAACCCACCAAGCCCCCCAAAAGAGAGCAAAUCUGAUGUGUUCAAUCAAUGGAUAUACUCCGGCAAAGGUUUUACAACAUACCUUAAGGCUGGUGAAGCGAUGAGAGAUGGGGAACCGACAACACAAGAUGUAGGUCAAGUUACCCAAUAAACCAACUCGAAUGAGCUUGGUAGAGCUAGUGGGCUUAUAUAAAGGAGUUCGUAGCGAGUAGUUGGUUAGAAUGGUCAUCUGUAGAGCGACCUGGAGGUGUAGCUGACCAAAUCCUUUUGUAUUUUGCCCCAAAAAGCAGUCCAGGAAUUUUGUUUGUGCUAUGACAGAUAUGGAUUGUAAUA
Long non-coding RNA from Triticum dicoccoides, 1606 nucleotides. RefSeq lists it as uncharacterized. NCBI's taxonomy places the organism in Eukaryota, Viridiplantae, Streptophyta, Magnoliopsida, Poales, Poaceae. The transcript has 4 exons. The record is from RefSeq and is a predicted model, not a curated record.